GCUAUUCAUUCAAAGCGUGCGUAAUAGCUCACUAGUCGAGUGACCCUGCGCCGAAAAUGUACCGGGGCUAAAAAAUAUUACCGAAGCUGUGGAUACCUUUAUAGGUAUGGUAGGAGAGCGUUCUAUGUGCGAAGAAGGUGUACCGUGAGGAGUGCUGGAGCGCAUAGAAGUGAGAAUGCCGGUAUGAGUAGCGAAAGACAGGUGAGAAUCCUGUCCACCGUAAGACUAAGGUUUCCAGGGGAAGGCUCGUCCGCCCUGGGUUAGUCGGGACCUAAGCUCAGGCCGAAAGGCGUAGGCGAUGGACAACAGGUUGAUAUUCCUGUACCACCUCCUCACCGUUUGAGAAAUGGGGGGACGCAGUAGGAUAGGGUAAGCAGAGCGUUGGUUGUCUCUGUUCAAGCAGUAAGGCGUGUGUGUAGG
RNAcentral lists this ribosomal RNA (420 nucleotides) under Pseudomonas aeruginosa. RNAcentral describes it as "partial 23S ribosomal RNA". It matches the Rfam family "Bacterial large subunit ribosomal RNA", at positions 1115 to 1536 of the family's 2925-position model. Lineage: Bacteria; Pseudomonadati; Pseudomonadota; Gammaproteobacteria; Pseudomonadales; Pseudomonadaceae. The record is from RNAcentral.